CCUACGGGGGGCAGCAGUAGGGAAUAUUGCUCAAUGGGCGAAACCCUGAAGCAGCAACGCCGCGUGGAGGAUGAAGGUUUUCGGAUUGUAAACUCCUUUUGUUAGAGAAGAUAAUGACGGUAUCUAACGAAUAAGCACCGGCUAACUACGGGCCAGCAGCCGCGGUAAUACGGAGGGUGCAAGCGUUACUCGGAAUCACUGGGCGUAAAGAGCGCGUAGGCGGGAUAGCAAGUCAGACGUGAAAUCCUAUGGCUUAACCCUAGAACUGCAUUUGAAACUGUUAGUCUAGAGUAUGGGAGAGGUAGGUGGAAUUCUUGGUGUAGGGGUAAAAUGCGUAGAGAUCAAGAGGAAUACUGAUUGCGAAGGCGGCCUGCUAGAACAUAACUGACGCUGAUGCGCGAAAGCGUGGGGAGCAAACAGGAUUAGAUACCCGGGUAGUC
This 440-nucleotide ribosomal RNA is filed under the name uncultured bacterium. Its description in RNAcentral is "partial 16S ribosomal RNA". It matches the Rfam family "Bacterial small subunit ribosomal RNA", at positions 338 to 795 of the family's 1533-position model. The record is from RNAcentral.